Molecule: ribosomal RNA, 253 nt
Filed under: uncultured bacterium
Lineage: Bacteria
Description: partial 16S ribosomal RNA
Rfam family: Bacterial small subunit ribosomal RNA
Source: RNAcentral
UACGUAGGGGGCAAGCGUUGUCCGGAAUCAUUGGGCGUAAAGAGCGCGUAGGCGGUCCGGUAAGUCCGCUCUGAAAGUCCGGGGCUCAACCCCGGGAGGCGGGCGGAUACUGUCGGGCUAGAGUCCGGAAGAGGCGAGUGGAAUUCCUGGUGUAGCGGUGAAAUGCGUAGAUACUGGGAGGAACACCAGUGGCGAAGGCGGCUACCUGGACCGGUUCUGACGCUGAGGCGCGAAAGCGUGGGUAGCAAACAGG